AUGGAGCGGCUGACUGAGACAGUCAAGGAGAUGCUGAGCCGGCAGAUGGACCAGGAGAAGGUCCAGCAACAGCUUAGUGAAGAGGUGGCCUCCAAGCUGGAUCACACGGAGCUGGGGGCUUUCCGGAAACAGCUGGAGGGGCACUGGAAGAACAUCCAGAAGCAGCUCCAGAAGGAGUCACGAGCAGAGGCUGAUGACGCAGCUGGGACUAAGAGCCAGCUGACCCAUCACCACUGCUUGUCCUGCGACCGACCCCGUGACAUGCGGGUGCCUGGCCCGCAAAUCGUGACAGUCCCAUCCCUGCCGCCGCUGUCCCCCUGCCUCGCCGAGCCCCCCAGUACCACUCCCAGGCUGGAGCAAGGAGACCAGCAAGGCCACAGGUAG
RNAcentral lists this long non-coding RNA (384 nucleotides) under Calidris pugnax (ruff). Its description in RNAcentral is "lncRNA (ENSCPUG00000001779.1)". Lineage: Eukaryota; Metazoa; Chordata; Aves; Charadriiformes; Scolopacidae. The record is from RNAcentral.